RNAcentral lists this transfer RNA (74 nucleotides) under Trentepohlia odorata. RNAcentral describes it as "tRNA-Ile". Lineage: Eukaryota; Viridiplantae; Chlorophyta; Ulvophyceae; Trentepohliales; Trentepohliaceae. The record is from RNAcentral.
GAGCCCGUAACUCAAUCGGUUAGAGUGAUUCUCUAAUAAAGAAUUGGUUGUCUGUUCAAAUCGGAUCGGGCUCA